Long non-coding RNA from Passer domesticus (house sparrow), 416 nucleotides. RefSeq lists it as uncharacterized. Lineage: Eukaryota; Metazoa; Chordata; Aves; Passeriformes; Passeridae. The transcript is spliced from 3 exons. The record is from RefSeq and is a predicted model, not a curated record.
AUUACCUUCAUCACUAUCUCUAUUCUCCUACAUUCCACCCAUCCACACUUGGCAUCACAGGAGCACAAGUUUAAGUGCUCGCUUCCCUCAAGGUGGGUCAGAGACAUACCUCAGGCUGCGUGCACUGAGAGGGUCCAACAGCAUGAAAUACUUUCUGCUUGGAAGGAAGGAUUUGUUCAGCGACACUAUUGCAUCUGAUUAUGCGACACUGCAUGGUACCAGGAAUAAACAGACAUCAAAGACAGCGCUGUGAAUGGAAGGACUGCUAAAAGCUUUAGCCAGAGACACUGAAAAAACAGGGAGAAAGGACAUGGAAGAGACCUAUGCAGCAUGUAUCUCCAAAAGUGUGACUCUGGCUAAUCCCAGACUGGACAAGCUGUUUUGCUCUUUCCCUGGACCCUCAUCCUUUAAGAAAU